GCCGGGUGUGGUGGCGCAUGCCUGUAAUCCCAGUUCCUUAGGAGGCUGAGGCAGGAGAAUUGCUUAAACCCAGGAGGCAGGGGUUGCAGUGAGCUAAGAUCGUGCCACUGCACUCCAGCCUGGGCAAUUAGAGCGAGAUUCUGUCUCAA
This 149-nucleotide non-coding RNA is filed under the name Nomascus leucogenys (northern white-cheeked gibbon). Lineage: Eukaryota; Metazoa; Chordata; Mammalia; Primates; Hylobatidae. The record is from Rfam by way of RNAcentral.